GACGAACCGUGCGAACGUUAUUCGGAAUCACUGGGCUUAAAGCGCGUGUAGGCGGGCCGGCACGUCGGUGCUGAAAGCCCCCGGCUCAACCGGGGAACAGGCGCCGAGACGACCGGCCUGGAGGGGCGUAGGGGGACCGGGAACUUCCGGUGGAGCGGUGAAAUGCGUUGAGAUCGGAAGGAACGCCCGUGGCGAAAGCGCGGUCCUGGACGCCUGCUGACGCUGAGACGCGAAAGCCAGGGGAGCGAACGGG
RNAcentral lists this ribosomal RNA (253 nucleotides) under uncultured bacterium. RNAcentral's name for it is "partial 16S ribosomal RNA". It matches the Rfam family "Bacterial small subunit ribosomal RNA", at positions 524 to 776 of the family's 1533-position model. The record is from RNAcentral.